Molecule: ribosomal RNA, 285 nt
Filed under: uncultured bacterium
Lineage: Bacteria
Description: partial 16S ribosomal RNA
Rfam family: Bacterial small subunit ribosomal RNA
Source: RNAcentral
GGAUUAGAUACCCUGGUAGUCCACGCCGUAAACGAUGGUCACUAGCUGUUCGGCUUCGGCUGAGUGGCUAAGCGAAAGUGAUAAGUGACCCACCUGGGGAGUACGUUCGCAAGAAUGAAACUCAAAGGAAUUGACGGGGGCCCGCACAAGCGGUGGAGCAUGUGGUUUAAUUCGAUGAUACGCGAGGAACCUUACCAGGGCUUAAAUGUAGAUUGCAUUAGCUAGAGAUAGCUAUUUCUUCGGACUAUCUACAAGGUGCUGCAUGGUUGUCGUCAGCUCGUGCUG